This 376-nucleotide long non-coding RNA is filed under the name Brassica rapa (field mustard). RNAcentral describes it as "long non-coding RNA (BRAP_LNC000167)". Lineage: Eukaryota; Viridiplantae; Streptophyta; Magnoliopsida; Brassicales; Brassicaceae. The record is from RNAcentral.
UUAGAAGAUGCAACAGAUCUCGUUUUGACAAUAUUCUGAGAUACAAUUUAAAUAUCAUGGUCAUGAUCGAUGUGAAUAAAUUUAACUAUCCGCCAUUGCCGUUAAUACGGUUUUAACGCAUUUGAACUUUGCUCUGCAUUCACAAUCUUUCAAAAAUUACUCUACUCUAUUAUUUAUGUUUUAUGGUCUUAUGCUUAUAGCGUUGUAAACUUUUUUUGUAGUCCAAAAUUGUAAGUUUUAAUGAAAGUGGUGUUCCAAAAAAAAAAAUCUAAAUUUCAUAACUAAGAGUAAAACGUUAGCCUGAUGUGGUAGCAAUGUGUUCGACCUUAAUCAUGGUCAUACCAACCAAUGGAAAAACGCUUUAACUAAUUAUUUU